CAAGGCCGCUCCGGGAGUGCAACCUAACAGCGCUCCGCUGUAGUUAACACGGUGCAGCUGGGCUCCAGGAGGCAGUUUGUACAGGCGGACACGAAUUUGACAAAAUUUACACAGAAGUAACGAAACCCGGUGAUGCCCUCUGUUAGACAACGAGGUUCCUUGGAGAGGAAAACCCCUAACAACGAGUAAGAGAAGAGUUUCUCGUUCUCAGAUUUCAUUCUCCACCGAACAGGAUAAAACAGGUUCCUACCAUGAGGGAGACGGUGGUUUGUAAGGAGAGGAUCACAGCUUCUUACUGUGGGAGAACUGAAGCAA
Long non-coding RNA from Fukomys damarensis (Damara mole-rat), 315 nucleotides. RefSeq lists it as uncharacterized. Lineage: Eukaryota; Metazoa; Chordata; Mammalia; Rodentia; Bathyergidae. The transcript is spliced from 3 exons. The record is from RefSeq and is a predicted model, not a curated record.